This is a long non-coding RNA of Amphimedon queenslandica, 221 nucleotides long. RefSeq lists it as uncharacterized. The record is from RefSeq and is a predicted model, not a curated record. The transcript is spliced from 2 exons. NCBI's taxonomy places the organism in Eukaryota, Metazoa, Porifera, Demospongiae, Haplosclerida, Niphatidae.
AUUAUUUUUCCAUUAAUUGUGUGUGUGUACAGUAUAAGGAGAGGGAGGAGGUUGUGAUUGAGCACAGAGCAAUGAAGGAGAGACAAAGAAUCAAAGAAGAACAAGAGAAGAAAGAAAAUACGACAGCAACCAAAAUACAGGCCUGGUGGAGAGGUAUGAUGGUUAGGAAAAGACUGGGUCCAUUUAAGAAAGGAGGCAAGAAAGGAAAGUCAAAGAAAAAA